Molecule: unclassified non-coding RNA, 315 nt
Filed under: uncultured Tomentella
Lineage: Eukaryota; Fungi; Basidiomycota; Agaricomycetes; Thelephorales; Thelephoraceae
Description: sequence contains 5.8S rRNA gene
Source: RNAcentral
GAACGCACCUUGCGCCCUUUGGCUAUUCCGAAGGGCAUGCCUGUUUGAGUAUCAUGAACACCUCAACUCUCAUGGUUUGCCAUGAUGAGCUUGGACUGUGGGGGUCUUGCUGGCUCAUGGUCAGCUCCUCUUAAUUGAAUCAGCUUUCCAGUGUUUGGUGGCAUCACAGGUGUGAUAACUAUCUACGCUUGUGUUGUCCUCCCAGGUAACCUUCAGCAAUGGAGGUCGCUGGAGCUAAUAAAUGCACAUCGCUCGUUGUAGAGAUGGCCUUUUAGAUGUUUGAUCUCAAAUCAGGUAGGACUACCCGCUGAACUU